Long non-coding RNA from Eucalyptus grandis, 521 nucleotides. RefSeq lists it as uncharacterized. Lineage: Eukaryota; Viridiplantae; Streptophyta; Magnoliopsida; Myrtales; Myrtaceae. The transcript is spliced from 3 exons. The record is from RefSeq and is a predicted model, not a curated record.
GUGAGAGAUGCGUUGGUGACCAUUGCUGAAUCGGCCCCUGCUCUAGCUUGCUAACUUGGUAGUAACCGCCUGUAAUUUGGAUAACAAUGAGAUGAUGGACAAGCUAUCAGCAACAGGGGACAAUGAUCAGAGCCAACCGGAGGUAGAGCAAAUACCUCUGCAGAAGGGUGAGACGUCAGCCAUUCCAUGGAACAGAGCACCCGAUCAAGCUUCUCCUUUACCAGAGCAUCCCCUUCUCGGUUAUUGGACCAGGUCUUUGGCCCAUCUUCUCCCAUGGAGAGAGGAAAUCAUUGAAAUCACCGAGACAUAGCCAAGGUAAAUGAGUUGCAGCAUGGAGGAUUCUUAUGGUAUCCCAGAAAUCCUAACGGAGUUGAUAAGUUGGAGGAGCGUGCAAGCAAGUGAUAUGCAUGGAGGCCGAUGUCCUAUGAUCACAGGCGAUGAAAUCCAGAAAGUGAGAAUCUGUAUGUACAAGAGUAACUUCAAAAUUGUCAUUCCAAAAUAGAGAAAGACCACCCUUGAGG